RNAcentral lists this non-coding RNA (46 nucleotides) under Trichobilharzia regenti. The record is from RNAcentral. Lineage: Eukaryota; Metazoa; Platyhelminthes; Trematoda; Strigeidida; Schistosomatidae.
GUAUUGCUGAAGAGUCCCAUACUCGGAUGAAACAACUGUCCAGUAC